AUCAGAGUGAAGAUGCCUUUCUAGAGAUGACUGGUUGUUGUUUUUUCCUCACAUGCAAGUUUUCAAAAAGAGCAAUUGAAGCCCAUCUCUUGAACAAUGACGACAGCUCCUCAUUUUCGACAACAAUAGAGGGCACGUAGGAGUCAGCUCAUUAGAAUAUCUGUGGCUCUUUUCUGUUCUCUCUGCAUUAAGCCCCCAUAAUGUCAGUUGUCACUUAUUAAUGACAAUUAACUAGUAAUCAGUAGUGA
Molecule: long non-coding RNA, 248 nt
Organism: Pantherophis guttatus
Lineage: Eukaryota; Metazoa; Chordata; Lepidosauria; Squamata; Colubridae
Source: RefSeq, a predicted model, not a curated record